RNAcentral lists this transfer RNA (73 nucleotides) under marine sediment metagenome. Its description in RNAcentral is "tRNA-Ala". It matches the Rfam family "tRNA". Rfam says of the family: Transfer RNA (tRNA) molecules are approximately 80 nucleotides in length. Their secondary structure includes four short double-helical elements and three loops (D, anti-codon, and T loops). The record is from RNAcentral.
GGGCGAGUAGCUCAAUUGGGAGAGCGGCUCUUUUGCACGGAGUAGGCAGUGGGUUCAAUCCCCACCUUGUCCA